Molecule: unclassified non-coding RNA, 358 nt
Filed under: Hevea brasiliensis (rubber tree)
Lineage: Eukaryota; Viridiplantae; Streptophyta; Magnoliopsida; Malpighiales; Euphorbiaceae
Source: RNAcentral
AAAAUCUUUUCCCCUGAAAUACUCUACCCGUGUCUCCUGCAGGACAGCCCAACGUGAAACUAAGCCUUUAUGAUCUCUUGCUUUCUCGGCAAACAGCUGGAAGACGUCCUUCGCCCCUUGUUUCGUAGAAGAAAUGCUAUUCGAGCCGUUAGAUGCGACACCGGGAGAUCGUCUCACCUUCUUCUUCUCCGCUCCGCCGGGUUUCUUCAUCGCCGUGUUUUCUCUCUCACACAGACACACAGUUCAAUCUGUGCUUCCCAUUCGCACACACCCUCUCUCUAACGCUUCCCUUGAAACACAUUUGCCUGUUUCCCCAAUUUAUAUAUCUUUCCCUUCUCUGUUUUCCUUUGGAUUUUCA